Molecule: non-coding RNA, 404 nt
Organism: Penaeus vannamei (Pacific white shrimp)
Lineage: Eukaryota; Metazoa; Arthropoda; Malacostraca; Decapoda; Penaeidae
Source: RefSeq, a predicted model, not a curated record
UUUGCGUGGUGUGUGUCGCCGUGAUGCUGAUGCUGACGAGCACCGGACAGGCAGGUCCUACAGGCCAGAAGCCCGGAAGUUGCCCCUUCAUCUCGGGAUCGCCGCCUGGCACCGCUAAAUGUAGUCGCAGAGGCCAAACGCCUUGCAUCGCUGAUUUCGACUGUGCUGGUGAUAGAAAAUGUUGCACGCUUGGUAUUGGUUCGAAAGUCUGUUUGAAGCCAUGGUAACGAUCGGAUAACUGAGAAAAAUCAUGGCUAACAGACAGUUCCAGAAGAUUCGAUUGCCUCGGAGAUAACCAUGGUUCACAAUGAGCACACACACAGUGGCCGCAGCCUUGUUUGCAGAAGACUGUGUCGAUUUGUCAGUUGAUUUGCCGUCUGUAUUGGUAGAGAUUGUUGAUGCUU